Molecule: long non-coding RNA, 3625 nt
Filed under: Pomacea canaliculata
Lineage: Eukaryota; Metazoa; Mollusca; Gastropoda; Architaenioglossa; Ampullariidae
Description: uncharacterized LOC112556102, transcript variant X1
Source: RNAcentral
GCUGUGUUGGUUAGUCGUCUUUGUUGGAAGCAAAAGCCAUGAUGUAGACAUCCUUUGAUGUCGGCGUUAGUCGGAGGCCUGGUCCCCCUUUUACCUCAAGGCGCUCGCCAGGUAAACUGUCGGGAGUCGUGUGCCGGGUUGACAGGACACAGCAAGAGGCGGGCUCGCGCUGACUGCUCUCCCCUUUGUGACUCUUAUAUUCCGGAGUCGAGAGUGGCCCUCAUUUUACGCUUGCUCCUCUCGCCACGCCGCUAAUUUGGAACACCUCGCCUGGAAUCGCAUGCAGGAUGAGGCAUGGAAGUUGGAAUGGGAUGAUGGAAAGAAGAAGGACCAAGAGAUACGCAGGUUAUUAUGACGCAGAAUCAGUGGUCGCCUUCAGACGCCAGAGGGUGACCUGCCUUGGCCCGACAUGCGAAGUCACGGCGUCUGUUGUAAACCGAGGACUCCGAGCACAGACCACAUGGCCAUGGGCUCUGCUUUGACUGGUCAGUCAGCGGAAGGAAGACUAAAGACGAAGAUACUAAAAGGCUGUAUCUGGAAAGUGUAUAUAAAAACAGGGGGAAAACAUGGCUCUUGCUGUCUUACCCUGUCACUUUGGGAGAGACAGAGAUGUCGCGACGUUAGUCACACACGUUGAGGAGGUCCGAGAGAGACGCCUCUCCCGGUUGGACAGGUCGAGCAGUACCCCGAUAUUUUGCGUGGUGGAUAUCUUGGGAACUAAUCCCGGUGCCGGAGCGCCCCAGUAUGCGAGCUUCAAGGCUAGUAGUUCGUGCAAUCAACCGAACGACUGCUCGGGAUUUCUGGUGCCAUGCAAGUCCCUUGGCAGAACAUACACUGACUCAUCCACCCCCGCACUCACCCGAUUAUUAGUCAGUCUGCAUGCUGUUCCUCGCUGACCUUACAGCUGGGACCGCUCGCAUUGUUAUAAGUGGUUAUUAAAAGUUGUUGCUCCCACAUUUGAUUUACCCGUAUGUAUGCAUUUACGUAUAUGUUAGAGACGACACAGUGUUACAUGGAUACACAUGAGAAAGAGGCUUUAAACUCAAUCACCGAUGCUGUUGAGAGCAGGGGUGGGAAAACUACGUCCCGCGGCUGCCUUCAAAGGAAAGACUGGUUUUAACGUUUUAUUGUGGGUUUUUGUGUUUUGCUUGAGAUGCCUUUACCUUUAUGCUUAUGCAUAAUAGCUUCGUUUUUUUUAUCCAUCUUUUCUUUUUCCAUUUUCUGUUGUUACUCACAAAUUGAGACAUCAUGUCUCUGGCCAAUGGACAAAGGGCACUGCACUGUCCGUAAGAAUAAGGCGACGAUGGCACCUCCCUGAAAGUACAGGAAAAAUAAAUAGUAAAUUAAAAGCAUGGAGGCGCGUCGACAUUAUGCAAAUUCCCAAUUAAAAACCGUUACAGAAGUGACACUGUCAUUUCAUCAUCUGAAGCCAAAGCACGCGCUAAUAAUUUCGAUUCCACCCUAAACGCGGUCAAACGAAAGACCUUGCAAUCGUUAUAAAUUAAUGAAACUGGGAUUUUACAUACUGGGGAAAAAAAGGGGAGAAAUAAGGGGGGAGAACGAGAGGACGAAUUUUAAUAUUAAUCUGACACCAAGUCAUUCAGUCCCUGUAUAUGCUCCGCGCGUUGCAUGACGAAAGACGUUUCUGGAAGAGGGUCAAAGGUCUCGCGGUCAGAAGGCUGAAGGUCGUAAAUCGGGAGAGAUGUCUUUGUUCAUGUGUAUACAGUAUGAACAGCAAAGGACUGAUACUCCUAAGCAGAUGCACUGAACAUAGCCUAUGCAUCACUGACACAAUGUUCUGUCUCCCACACGAAAACACCUGGAUGCACCCCAGACCUGCCUCUUACGUUUCCAAAACGCUUUAGAGGGGAAAUUUCCCAAAGAAACAUAUCUCACCCAUCUCAAAGACAUGGAUCAAGUUCAGACAAAUGGAUGCAGUUCAAAGAUACAGUCACUGCCAUCGGGAAGGAAAAACACGGUUUAGUCCCGAAUGUCAGCAGGUAGGCGGCUUUGACAAUCUCCCCAUCGCAGAUCGUAGUUGGCGCUUGCUUGGCAAUGGGCAAACCAAAGUUACAAGCUCUUACCAAGCUUGGACGAAUCUUGCGUGCUUUGCUGGGUACAAACAGGUCUCUAUACAAAAGGCACAUCGCACAGGUUUGGUGCCACAAGUUCUUUUUGAGCAUCAGUUCACAGAAGCGGAUACCGAGCACUUUCGCAAGACAAAUUCCAGAGAUAAUUGUGUAUCAUUUGGAAAUGAAAGAGCACUUAAAUUGUUAACUCUCAGAUCUACCUUGUUUAUCAGUCUUUUAGAAGCAUGUUAUACUUCCAUAUAGAUAACGCUUUUAAUUGUUGUUAUUCCAGUGAUUUAUUUCAACAAUUACAGUUUUGUGUGUGUUAUGCAUCACAACUAAUAAGAAAGUAGGGUUGGGGCUGUAAAGACUAUUGAAAAAUGUGAUAACGUAGAAAAUACUACAAUUUGGGCAAUAAGCUUUUUCACUCAGAGAUAGGGAUAUAGUAAAGCAAAAAAAAAAUGUUGCAUCACAUUGACAUUGGGCACCUGCCCAAUCUAUUCCGUGUACAAUAUAAUCAGUGUUAGGUGAAACCAUGCACUGCCUGUCAUGUAUACAUUUUCUUUUCAAAUUUAAUUCAUUUCCAUAAGUGUGAAAUUACUUUUAUGUUAGUUAAUGGGAAUUUUAAAUUUGUUGUACUCACAAAACAGUAUCGUGCCUCUUGGGACAUUUGUCAUUAUUGAGUUUACAGAGGAAGGCCGUGUUGACCAUACUAUGCUGAAGACUUUAUUAUUUUAGGAUGGUUGUACCAGCACCACCAUUACCAGACCCACUACAACCAAAAGUGGCAAACAACCCCUUAUAUCCACAGGCGAGUGCACUAACCACAAGAGUAGUGCCACCACAUUAUGAGCAUCUCAAUGACCAACAUGUUAAUUCUAUACAAGGAAAACAAGAGGAGCCUUAGAAGGCAGCAUCCAGUAAGUGUCUAACGAAGGGAUAGAAAUAAAAUUGAUGCUGCAGGAAGCAAAAGAUAUACUGGUUCAUUUGACGGAACUGGUAACUAAAGACAAGCCUGCUCCAGCAAGGGAUACUCAUCUGUUGCCAGAAGAUUUAAUCCUUCCAGUUAGAACACAGCAGGAGCUGUUAGAGCUGGAAUGAUGAUGACUCCUUUCAUGAAUUACUCAUCAAAAGCCUCUCUUUUGUGUGUGUGGUACAGACGCAAAGGAUUGUGUGAAAAGAAUCGUGUGGCAAAUCCUGAUCGACAAGGUUGCUAGGAAUUAUAACUGAACAGGUAAAAAGGGAGAGAAGCGUGCUUUCAAGGGACUUAAAGAUGCAGACCAUGAUCUGCAGUAAGUGAUGUAUAAAUAUUAGUUUAUAUUAUUAGACUAUAGCUAUAUGAUAUAUUUUAUAUACAUAUUUUAACCCAAAAGAGGUACUGAUAUAAGUGCUCAUUUUUGUGUAAUAUAUGUUGACAUAUUUCAUUGCUAACUCCACCAACAUUUUCUUUAACUCCUUAUUGUAAAUUGUCACCAUUUGUUGUACAUAUGAUUGAUUGUUAUUGUGUAAUAUAGUUGCAGUGCUGAAAUAUGUUUUAAUAAAAAGGAAAGUUUUAA